UACGAAGGGUGCAAGCGUUGUUCGGAAUUAUUGGGCGUAAAGCGCGUGUAGGCGGCUUUGCAAGUCGGGUGUGAAAUCCCUCAGCUCAACUGAGGAAGUGCGCCCGAAACUGCAGAGCUUGAGUACCGGAGAGGAUGGCGGAAUUCCCCAAGUAGAGGUGAAAUUCGUAGAUAUGGGGAGGAACACCGGUGGCGAAGGCGGCCAUCUGGACGGAUACUGACGCUGAGACGCGAAAGCGUGGGGAGCGAACAGG
RNAcentral lists this ribosomal RNA (253 nucleotides) under uncultured bacterium. RNAcentral's name for it is "partial 16S ribosomal RNA". It matches the Rfam family "Bacterial small subunit ribosomal RNA", at positions 524 to 776 of the family's 1533-position model. The record is from RNAcentral.